Molecule: RNA transcript, 9153 nt
Organism: Balaenoptera acutorostrata (minke whale)
Lineage: Eukaryota; Metazoa; Chordata; Mammalia; Artiodactyla; Balaenopteridae
Gene: PLCE1
Gene name: phospholipase C epsilon 1
Exons: 36
Source: RefSeq, a predicted model, not a curated record
GCCCGGCGGCCCGCGGUAGCGCUCGCGGCCUCUCACCCGGGGCGGGUGAGUUCUGGGAAAGCCCGGCCCAGGGCGGGGGCUCCGCUGCCGCCCGCGCCGCCGUCCGGGCAGCUUGCAGAGCUCUGCGGGCGCGGAGCGAGGGAGCGGCGCCGGGCGGGGGCGCACACGACGACGCGGGGCCGGGUGGGCGCGGCGGCGGCGGCGGCGGCGGCGGCGGCGGCGGCGGCGGGCGGCGCGCCCCGGGCUCUGUCUCCCGGGCACUUGCCCGGCUCUGCGCGCUCCUGUCGUCCGCUCCGCUGCUGACACACGGUAGCGAGGACACCCGACGCCGCUAGCGACAGGCGCAUCCCAGAGGGACGCUGCACUUGGGGACUCCGGCGCGACCGGCUAGAAGAGGAAAGGCUCAGCCACUUGCUGUGUUCAACCUUGCCAGGAUCCUCUCUGCCUUAAGCUGGAGGAGCUGGAAGUAGUGUGGAGAAAGGGAAAAGCCAAGCCAGACCGGCCCUCUGGGCUGCUGGACCAAUGAGCAAGUUCAUCUCUACCAGGCCUCCAAGGGCGUGUGUCUGAAACAGCUUUGAUCUGCUGCCUGUGGGAGAGUGGCCGCCACCCACCUUUCCAGGAUACAUUCGAACUGGAUUUUUAAAUCAUUGUAAGCCAGUGAUGAAUCAGAGGUUACAGAAUGCAAUGUCGAAUAAAAGUCUUCGAAAGAAUUGCUUCAAAUGACCAAAGAAAGAAACUUGAUCUACCACCUUAAAACCUUGAUCUAGAAGAGCAUACUGCACAUGGUAGGAAGUGAUAACUGGGGAAAUUUAUUUGGCUCUUAAUGCACCUAAAUGAAGGAAUUGUCACUUUGUUCCUCAGAGGGCUUGUACACCUUAGAUUAUUUUAAUAACCCAUAGUUUUAUUAACAUUUUGACAUGAUCACAAACGAGGAGAAACAGCAAUAGCUAAAGCCUGCUCAUUGGUCAAGAUGACUUCUGAAGAAAUGGCAGCUUCUGUUCUCAGACCUGUGACUCAGCGAAAAGUGAUAUCUGCUCAGUCGGCUGUAGAUGAAAGUAAUGAUAAGGUCUCGGACAUCAAUGUUCCAAAGGCGCAUCCUGUCAGGCAGAGCGGGGAGACUUCUCAUACCAUCUCACAACUAACGAAACUUACAGAAGAAUCUUCUGGAAGCAACUUGCCCCAGAUUCUCUCAGUAGCAAGGGAGAAAAUAACGAGUGAUGAGAACAGUAAUGAAAAGUGCUGGGAGAAAAGCAUACCAGACUCUGUGAAAAACCUUAACAUUAACUGCAACAACAUACUGAAAAACCAUCAGCGUUGCCUUCCUCAGAGCCAGUUUUAUGAAACGUGCGAUUCUACCACAGAGGAAAGCCUGUGUUUGGAAACUGGAAUCCCGUCUUCACUGGAAAGAAAGGUGUUCCCUGGAAUUCAACUGGAAAUAGACAGACCUCCCGUGGGCAUUAGUCCAUUAGGAACUCAAUCAGCCAUCAUAGAGACGGGCAGGGCACACCCUGACAGCAACAUGGCGGUAUUUCACUUUCAGUAUGAAGUGGACAGAAGAAUGUCAGACACUUUCUGUCCCCUAUCAGAUAACUUGAUUUUGGAUGAUUGUGGAAACUGUGUACUACCUGCUGUUGGUGGGGAACAAAAGAACAAUUACAUGGCGUAUACUUGUAAACUGAUGGAAUUGGCAAGUAACUGUGACAAUAAGAAUAGGCAGCUGCAGUAUGAUCAUUGUGACCCCUUGAAUGACAAAUACUUGUGCUUUGAAGGCUCUUGCCCGAAGGCCGAUGUAGUAUGCUCAAGUGACACCUUUUGCGGGGAGGAUUUUACUGACAGCCCAUCUGCCAAGACCUUUCUGAGCCAUUUUGAGGACUUCCCUGAUAAUUGUGAAGAUGUAGAAGAAGAUUUAUUCAAAAGCAAGAAGGAGCGGUCCACUUGGUUAGUGAGGAGAUUUUGUAAAAAUGACAGGGAAGUAAAGAAAUCUGUAUAUACUGGGACAAGGGCAAUUGUGAGAACUCUGCCUUCUGGUCACAUUGGGCUGGGGGCUUGGAGUUACGUUGAUCGGAAGAGAACUGGUCUCUUACUGCCUUGUGGGAGAGUCAUGGAACGGCUGUCAACAGUGGUGACUAGGCAAGAUGGGAGCCAGUGUCUGUCCGAAGCCCAGUGGUAUCCGAUCUACAGUGCAGUGAGAAGGGGAGAAGAAACAGAAGAGACAAUUAGAUCUCUUCUCCAUUUCUUCACAAAGCUCCCAGCCUCCGAGACAGCCCAUGAAAGGAUUAGCAUUGGUCCGUGCUUAAAGCAAUGUGUCCAAGACACUGUUUGUGAGUAUCGUGCCACCCUCCAAAGGACUUCCAUAUCUCAGUACAUCACCGGCUCUCUCCUAGAAGCCACCACAUCUUUAGGAGCAAGAAGUAACCUUCUCAAUUCUUUUGGAGGAUCCACCGGACGAAUGAUGCUGAAAGAACGCCAGCCAGGCACCUCUAUGGCCAAUCCCAGUGCCCUCCCUUCAAGUUCAGCUGGGAUCAGCAAGGAGCUGAUUGAUCUGCAGCCCCUCAUGCAGUUCCCAGAGGAAGUUGCCAGCAUCCUGAUGGAACAGGAGCAGAAUAUUUACCGAAGGGUCUUGCCAGUUGACUAUCUUUGCUUCUUGACCCGGGACUUGGGCACCACGGAAUGCCAGAGGUCCCUGCCCUGCCUCAAAGCGUCCAUCUCAGCAUCCAUUCUUACCUCCCAGAACGGAGAGCAUAAUGCCCUUGAAGAUCUUGUGAUGAGGUUUAAUGAGGUGAGCUCCUGGGUGACGUGGCUGAUCCUCACGGCGGGCUCCAUGGAGGAGAAGCGGGAAGUCUUCUCGUAUUUGGUGCACGUGGCCAAAUGCUGCUGGAACAUGGGCAACUACAACGCCGUCAUGGAGUUCUUGGCCGGCCUCAGGUCAAGAAAAGUUUUAAAAAUGUGGCAGUUUAUGGACCAGUCAGACCUGGAGACAAUGAGGAGCCUGAAGGACGCCAUGGCCCAGCAUGAAUCUUCCUGCGAGUACAGGAAGGUGGUGACUCGGGCGCUGCACAUCCCCGGCUGUAAGGUGGUUCCGUUCUGCGGGGUGUUUCUGAAGGAGCUCUGUGAGGUGCUUGACGGAGCCUCCGGCCUCAUGAAGCUUUGCCCGAGGUACAAUUCCCAAGAAGAAACUCUAGAGUUUGUAGCCGAUUACAGUGGACAAGAUAAUUUCUUACAACGAGUGGGACAGAAUGGCUUAAAGAAUUCAGAGAAGGAGUCCACCGUCAACAGCAUCUUUCAGAUCAUCAGGAGCUGCAGUCGAAAUCUGGAGACAGAGGAGGAGGACAGCUCCAGUGAAGGGAACAGCUCUAGGAAAAAUUCCUUGAAGGAUAAAGCCCGAUGGCAGUUUAUAAUUGGAGAUCUGUUGGAUUCUGAAAAUGACAUCUUUGAGCAGCCCCAAGAAUGGGACCCUCACGCAUCAGAAGAGCCACAGAAGGCCUUUGACCAUGGGACAGAGCUCAUCCCGUGGUACGUGCUGUCCAUCCAAGCUGAUGUGCACCAGUUCCUGCUGCAGGGGGCCACGGUCAUCCACUAUGACCAGGACAUGCACCUCUCUGCCCGCUGCUUCCUCCAGCUUCAGCCUGACAAUAGCACCUUGACCUGGAUAAAACCCACCACUGCUUCCCCAGCCAGUGCUAAAGCAAAACUUGGUGUGCUUAGUAACACAUCCGAGCCUGGCAAAUUCCCAUUACUGGGCAAUGCUGGAUUAAGUGGCCUGGCAGAGGGGGUCUUGGAUCUGUUUUCAGCAAAGGCUGUGUACAUGGGACACCCUAGCAUUGAUAUACACACUGUGUGUGUCCAGAACAAACUGAGUAACAUGUCUCUCUCAGAGACUGGAGUGACACUGCUCUACGGGCUUCAGACCACGGACAAUAGGUUAUUGCACUUUGUGGCACCAAAGCACACAGCUAAAAUGCUCUUCAGUGGAUUGUUGGAACUCACUAGAGCUGUGAGAAAGAUGAGGAAGUUCCCUGACCAAAGACAGCAGUGGCUGCGGAAACAAUACGUCAGCCUUUACCAGGAGGAUGGACGAUAUGAAGGCCCAACUUUGGCUCACGCUGUGGAGUUGUUUGGCGGCAGACGAUGGAGUACUCGAAACCCCAGUCCUGGGACAUCAGCAAAGAGUGCUGAGAAGCCCAACGUGCAGAGAAACAACACCUUGGGUAUAAGCACCACCAAGAAAAAGAAGAAAAUCCUUAUGAGGGGUGAGAGUGGAGAGGCCACCGACGACGAGAUGGCCACCCGCAAAGCCAAAACACACAAAGAGUGUCGGAGUCGGAGUGGUUCUGAUCCUCAAGACGUUAAUGAACAAGAAGAAUCAGAGGCGAACGCCAUCACAAGCCCUCCUAACCCUCUCCCUUCCAGAAGAGCCCACUCUUUGACCACGGCUGGGUCCCCUAACUUGGCUGCCGGGACGUCAUCUCCCAUCAGGCCAGUGUCCUCCCCUGUGCUGUCUUCUUCAAACAAGAGCCCGUCCAGUGCUUGGAGCAGCAGCAGCUGGCAUGGGCGCAUCAAAGGAGGAAUGAAGGGCUUUCAGAGCUUCAUGGUUUCAGACAGCAGCAUGAGUUUUGUGGAGUUUGUUGAACUGUUCAAAUCAUUCAGUGUGAGGAGCCGCAAGGACCUGAAGGAUCUCUUUGACAUCUACGCCGUACCCUGCGACCGAGCCGGCUCCGAGGCGGCCCCCCUCUACACCAACCUGACCAUUGAUGAAAACACCAGCGGUCUUCAGCCUGACCUAGAUUUGCUGACCAGAAAUGUCUCCGAUUUGGGGUUAUUCAUUAAGAGUAAACAGCAGCUGUCCGACAACCAGAGGCAGAUAUCUGAUGCCAUUGCUGCUGCAAGUAUCGUGACAAAUGGCACUGGGGUGGAGAGCACAUCCCUGGGCGUAUUUGGAGUUGGCAUCCUCCAGCUCAAUGACUUCCUAGUGAAUUGCCAAGGAGAACACUACACUUACGAUGAAAUCCUCAGCAUCAUCCAGAAGUUCGAGCCUAGUAUCAGUAUGUGUCAUCAAGGCCUAAUGUCGUUUGAAGGAUUUGCAAGGUUUCUGAUGGAUAAAGAUAAUUUUGCCUCAAAAAAUGAUGAGUCGCAGGAGAACAUUAAAGAAUUGCAAUUGCCCCUCUCCUACUACUACAUUGAAUCUUCACACAAUACCUACCUCACAGGCCAUCAACUCAAAGGAGAAUCCUCAGUAGAACUCUACAGCCAGGUCCUCCUGCAAGGCUGUAGGAGUGUAGAGUUGGACUGCUGGGACGGAGAUGAUGGGAUGCCCAUCAUUUAUCAUGGACACACCCUGACAACCAAGAUCCCCUUCAAGGAAGUGGUUGAAGCCAUCGAUCGCAGUGCCUUUAUCAACUCCAACCUCCCCAUCAUCAUAUCGAUUGAGAACCACUGUUCAUUGCCUCAGCAACGAAAAAUGGCAGAAAUUUUCAAGACUGUGUUUGGAGAAAAACUGGUGGCUAAAUUCUUAUUUGAGAGUGAUUUCUCAGAUGAUCCAAUGCUUCCCUCACCUGACCAACUCAGGAGGAAAGUGCUUCUCAAAAAUAAGAAGUUAAAAGCCCAUCAGACACCGGUGGAUAUAUUAAAGCAAAAGGCUCAUCAGCUAGCGUCCAUGCAAGCUCAGGCUUAUAAUGGUGGCAGUGCCAACCCUCCACCUGCUAAUAACGAAGAAGAGGAAGAUGAAGAGGACGAAUAUGAUUAUGACUAUGAAUCCCUCUCUGACGACAACAUUCUAGAAGACAGACCUGAAAAUAAAUCAUGUAAUGACAAACUUCAGUUUGAGUAUAAUGAAGAAAUCCCCAAGAGGAUAAAGAAAGCAGAUAACUCUGCUUGCAACAAAGGAAAGGUUUAUGACAUGGAACUGGGAGAAGAAUUUUAUCUUCCUCAGAAUAAAAAGGAAAGCAGACAGAUUGCACCAGAGCUUUCUGACCUUGUCAUCUAUUGCCAAGCAGUAAAGUUUCCAGGCCUGUCAACUCUAAAUGCAUCUGGCUCUAGCAGAGGAAAAGAAAGGAAAAGCAGGAAGUCCAUUUUUGGCAACAAUCCGGGCAGAAUGAGCCCCGGGGAGACAGCAUCAUUUAACAAAACAUCUGGAAAAAAUUCCUGUGAAGGAAUGCGACAGGCCUGGGAGGACUCGCCUUCCUCUGUCAACCCAACCACGUCCCUCAGCGCGAUCAUUAGAACUCCCAAAUGCUACCACAUCUCCUCGCUGAAUGAAAAUGCCGCCAAACGUCUGUGUCGCAGGUAUUCUCAGAAACUGAUCCAGCACACUGCCUGCCAGCUGCUGAGGACGUAUCCGGCUGCCACCCGCAUCGACUCAUCCAACCCCAGCCCCCUCCUCUUCUGGCUCCAUGGGAUACAGCUCGUGGCGCUCAACUACCAGACAGAUGAUCUCCCUUUACAUUUAAACGCUGCCAUGUUUGAGGCCAACGGUGGCUGUGGUUAUGUUCUGAAACCCCCAGUUCUGUGGGACAAGAACUGUCCCAUGUAUCAGAAGUUUUCUCCCUUGGAAAGAGACCUGGACAACAUGGAGUCUGCCGUCUAUUCUUUAACUAUUGUCUCUGGGCAGAACGUGUGCCCGAGUAACAGCACGGGAAGCCCGUGUAUAGAGGUCGACGUCCUGGGCAUGGCCCUGGAUAGCUGCCACUUCCGCACGAAGCCCAUCCACCGCAAUACUCUGAACCCCAUGUGGAAUGAACAGUUCCUCUUCCGGGUUCACUUUGAAGAUCUCCUAUUUCUUCGUUUUGCUGUCGUGGAGAACAACAGCUCGGUGGUAACUGCUCAGAGAAUCAUCCCCCUCAAGGCUCUAAAGCGAGGAUAUCGACAUCUUCAGCUGCGAAACCUCCACAAUGAAGUCUUGGAAAUCUCUAGUUUAUUCAUAAACAGCAGGAGGAUGGAAGAAAAUUCCUCUGGCAAUACUAUGCCGGCCUCUUUGAUGUUUAAUACAGAAGAAAGAAAAUGUUUGCAGAUUCACAGAGUCACAGUACAUGGGGUCCCAGGUCCAGAGCCCUUUGCUGUUUUCUCCAUAAAUGGAGGCACCAAGGCAAAGCAGCUUCUCCAACAAAGUCUGACCAUUGAUCAAGACACCAAACCUAUUGCCACAGACUAUUUUUUAAUGGAAGAAAAAUAUUUUAUAUCUAAAGAAAAGAAUGAAUGUAGGAAACAACCGUUCCAGAGAGCCAUUGGUCCAGAAGAAGAGAUCAUGCAGAUUUUAAGCAGCUGGUUUCCAGAAGAGGGAUAUGUUGGCAGGAUUGUCUUAAAAACCCAGCAGGAAAACCUGGAAGAGAAGAGCAUCGUUCAAGAUGACAAGGAGAUGAUCUUGAGCUCAGAGGAGGAGAGUUUCUUUGUCCAAGUGCAUGACGUUUCUCCAGAGCAACCGCGAACGGUCAUCAAGGCGCCCCGCAUCAGCACCGCACAGGACGUCAUUCAGCAGACCUUAUGCAAAGCCAAAUAUUCCUAUAGCAUCUUGAGCAACCCCAACCCGGGUGAUUAUGUGCUUUUGGAAGAGGUGGUGAAAGACACUGCCAACAGGAAGUCUUCUACCCCAAAGUCCUCCCAGCGUGUCCUUUUGGAUCAGGAGUGUGUUUUUCAAGCUCAAAGCAGGUGGAAAGGUGCAGGAAAAUUCAUCCUUAAGCUAAAGGAACAAGUGCAGGCAUCCCGAGAAGACAAAAGAAAAGGCAUCUCUUUUGCAAGCGAACUCAAGAAGCUCACCAAGUCGACUAAACAGCCCCGAGGACUCACGUCGUCUUCUCAGGUCUUGGCCUCAGAAAAUGUCCAAAACAAGGAGGAGAAACCUGUGGGCAGCAUGUCCUCCAGUGACACGAUAGACUAUCGACAGUGAGCAAGGGUAGCACGUUUUACCCAGAUAACUAAAGGCCCCAAGAGGACAACAAACUUGCCCAAACUACAACAGCCUUAUUUCAUCAGACACAGAACUGUCUUAAUUACUGGUGAAGAUCUUUGGGCAAGAAGUUAUAAAGUCAAGAAUGAACAUGAUGGAAACAAAUAUAACUUCCUUAUUUUCAUUAGACUUAAACUGGAAAUUGAUGAUUUCUGAACUUGCGAUAUGAGGUCCACACUGAGGUCAAGCAAAAUGGCACAGGGCUACUAACCAGUUUCCUGAUGAAGCAAAGAAGCCCAGCAGAUGCCAUUUUACACGUGUCAACAGUUGGAAAAACCAUUGCUAACCUUGCAAUAAGGGUCAACAAACUUUGUAAAGGGCUAGACAGUAAAUAUUUUAGGCCUUAUGGGCCAUAUGGUCUCCACUGCAAUGACUCAACUCAGCUGUAGUGCAAAAGCAGCCAUAGACAAUACGUACGUGAAUGAAUGUGGCUGUGAUCCAAGAAAACUAUAUAAAGACACCGAAAUUGUAAUUUCAUAUAAUUUUCCCAUGUAAUAAAUAUUCCUCUUUUGAUUUUUAAAAAUCAUUUAAAAAUGUAAAAACUAUUCUUAGUUCAAGAGUCACACGAAACCAGGUGGCAGGCUGGAUUUGGCCCAAGGGGCAUAGUUUGCUGACCUGACUUAGAAAACUGGGAACAAGAUGCACAGAGGUAUGAAAACAAGCAGGCUAGUUUAGUCAUACAUUUUAUGGCUGAGAAUUGGAAGAUUUUGGGCAUUGCAAGUGUAAAUAUGUCCUAUAAGAUUCAUUAAAAAGUAAUUCAAUUUAGUUUCUAUAUUGUGUACCAUUGUGAAUUCUGUAGUACUUCUUUUUAGCUACAGAAUGAUGUUGGGUUUUUUUACGUUUAUUGCUUAUAUAUUCACAGACUUUUGGUUUCCAUAAAAUGAAUUUAGAAUAACGUAUAAUAUCUACUGAGUUGUGACAUCUUAACAAGAAACUUAACCAUGUUUUUAAAGCAAAAGUAGAUUGAGUUGGUGUUUAUUUAUUUUACUAGGUUUGUACUGACAUUGUACCUAUAUAUUUAUUAUACAUAGCUUUCUUGAUAUUGCUUGCAGAUUAGAAGCAUUAGUGGUUCUAUCUCACUAUUUGAAAACAAAUCUCCUAAAAAGAAAAUGUAUGCUCUGACUAUCUGAAAUAGGCCAGAAUUCAUGUAACUUGCCAUUUAAUGUAAAUUAUUUUAAAAACCUUGCUGUAUAAAACUAUCAUGUACGUGUAAA